CCUACGGGAGGCAGCAGUGGGGAAUCUUGCGCAAUGGGCGAAAGCCUGACGCAGCCAUGCCGCGUGAAUGAUGAAGGUCUUAGGAUUGUAAAAUUCUUUCACCGGGGACGAUAAUGACGGUACCCGGAGAAGAAGCCCCGGCUAACUUCGUGCCAGCAGCCGCGGUAAUACGAAGGGGGCUAGCGUUGCUCGGAAUUACUGGGCGUAAAGGGAGCGUAGGCGGAUAGUUUAGUCAGAGGUGAAAGCCCAGGGCUCAACCUUGGAAUUGCCUUUGAUACUGGCUAUCUUGAGUGUGGGAGAGGUAUGUGGAACUCCGAGUGUAGAGGUGAAAUUCGUAGAUAUUCGGAAGAACACCAGUGGCGAAGGCGACAUACUGGCCCAUUACUGACGCUGAGGCUCGAAAGCGUGGGGAGCAAACAGGAUUAGAUACCCUGGUAGUCCACGCUGUAAACGAUGAGUGCUAGUUGUCGGCAUGCAUGCAUGUCGGUUGACGCAGCUAACGCAUUAAGCACUCCGCCUGGGGAGUACGGUCGCAAGAUUAAAACUCAAAUGAAUUGACGG
RNAcentral lists this ribosomal RNA (561 nucleotides) under uncultured bacterium. Its description in RNAcentral is "bacterial SSU rRNA". It matches the Rfam family "Bacterial small subunit ribosomal RNA", at positions 338 to 916 of the family's 1533-position model. The record is from RNAcentral.